This 326-nucleotide ribosomal RNA is filed under the name uncultured eukaryote. RNAcentral describes it as "partial 18S ribosomal RNA". It matches the Rfam family "Eukaryotic small subunit ribosomal RNA", at positions 1470 to 1796 of the family's 1831-position model. The record is from RNAcentral.
CCCUUAGAUGUUCUGGGCCGCACGCGCGCUACACUGAAGGCAUCAGCGUGUCCUUCCCUCCCCGAGAGGGGCGGGUAACCCGCUGAACCGCUUUCGUGGUAGGGAUCGGGGCUUGCAAUUAUUCCCCGUGAACCAGGAAUUCCCAGUAAGCGCGAGUCAUAAGCUCGCGUUGAUUACGUCCCUGCCCUUUGUACACACUGCCCGUCGCUACUACCGAUUGAACGUUUUAGUGAGGUAUUUGGAUCGGACCUGAAGGGGUUCACGCCCUUUCUGUGUCUGAGAAGACUCCCAAACUUGAGCGUUUAGAGGAAGUAAAAGUCGUAACA